AACCUAGCACACCUGCGGUGUGUACCUGCGGAAGGAUCAUUAACGAAUCUAAAGUCGAUGCGUUGUGCUGGUGGCAACACAUGUGCACGCGUGUCGCAUACAUCCACACACCUGUGAACCCUAGACUCUGUGGUCGAUCGAACGCCCGGACUCGUCCAUCGCGUGUGGGGACUUUACGUCCUCCGUUCGCCCAGGGUAAUUUUUACACACGCCGAAUGUGAUAGAAUGUAUCUGUGCAUA
RNAcentral lists this unclassified non-coding RNA (240 nucleotides) under soil metagenome. RNAcentral describes it as "partial contains 5.8S ribosomal RNA, internal transcribed spacer 2, and large subunit ribosomal RNA". The record is from RNAcentral.